UGGGGAAUUUUCCGCAAUGGGCGAAAGCCUGACGGAGCAAUACCGCGUGAGGGAGGAAGGCUCUUGGGUUGUAAACCUCUUUUCUCAGGGAAGAACAGAAUGACGGUACCUGAGGAAUAAGCAUCGGCUAACUCCGUGCCAGCAGCCGCGGUAAUACGGAGGAUGCAAGCGUUAUCCGGAAUGAUUGGGCGUAAAGGGUCCGCAGGUGGCAUUGUAAGUCUGCUGUUAAAGAGUUUGGCUCAACCAAAUAAGAGCAGUGGAAACUACAAAGCUAGAGUGUGGUCGGGGCAGAGGGAAUUCCUGGUGUAGCGGUGAAAUGCGUAGAUAUCAGGAAGAACACC
This 341-nucleotide ribosomal RNA is filed under the name uncultured cyanobacterium. RNAcentral describes it as "bacterial SSU rRNA". It matches the Rfam family "Bacterial small subunit ribosomal RNA", at positions 355 to 710 of the family's 1533-position model. Lineage: Bacteria; Bacillati; Cyanobacteriota. The record is from RNAcentral.